RNAcentral lists this ribosomal RNA (208 nucleotides) under uncultured Latescibacterota bacterium. Its description in RNAcentral is "uncultured Latescibacteria bacterium partial 16S ribosomal RNA". It matches the Rfam family "Bacterial small subunit ribosomal RNA", at positions 568 to 775 of the family's 1533-position model. The record is from RNAcentral. Lineage: Bacteria; Pseudomonadati; Candidatus Latescibacterota.
CGUGUAGGCGGUCAGGUAAGUGGAAUGUGAAAUGCCCCGGCUCACCCGGGGACCGGCAUCCCAAACUGCCUGGCUUGAGUAUGGGAGAGGAUGGAGGAAUUCCUGGUGUAGCGGUGAAAUGCGUAGAUAUCAGGAGGAACACCGGUGGCGAAGGCGUCCAUCUGGCCCAAUACUGACGCUGAGGCGCGAAAGCUAGGGGAGCAAACGA